RNAcentral lists this unclassified non-coding RNA (391 nucleotides) under soil metagenome. RNAcentral's name for it is "partial contains 5.8S ribosomal RNA, internal transcribed spacer 2, and large subunit ribosomal RNA". The stretch from base 1 to 122 matches the Rfam family "5.8S ribosomal RNA", at positions 35 to 154 of the family's 154-position model. The record is from RNAcentral.
GAUGAAGAACGUAGCGAAAUGCGAUACUUGGUGUGAAUUGCAGAAUCCCGUGAACCAUCGAGUCUUUGAACGCAAGUUGCGCCCGAAGCCAUUAGGCCGAGGGCACGCCUGCCUGGGCGUCACACGUCGUUGCCCCCCCAUCUACUCCUUCGGGAUUGCGGGGGGCGGAUGAUGGCCUCUCGUGCGCCUCGUCGCGCGGUUGGCCUAAAUGCCAAGUCCUCGGCGACGCACGCCACGACAAUCGGUGGUUGCGAAACCUCGGUUGCCUGUCGUGUGCGGUCGUCGCGCAUCGAGGGCUCGAAAAAAUUGCCGGGCUUCGGCUCGACUUUCAACGCGACCCCAGGUCAGGCGGGGUCACCCGCUGAAUUUAAGCAUAUCAAUAAGCGGAGGA